Molecule: ribosomal RNA, 447 nt
Filed under: uncultured bacterium
Lineage: Bacteria
Description: partial 16S ribosomal RNA
Rfam family: Bacterial small subunit ribosomal RNA
Source: RNAcentral
AACGAACGCUGGCGGCAGGCCUAACACAUGCAAGUCGAACGCCCCGCAAGGGGAGUGGCAGACGGGUGAGUAACGCGUGGGAACCUUCCCAGUGGUACGGAAUAACUGACCGAAAGGUUGGCUAAUACCGUAUACGCCCGAAAGGGGAAAGAUUUAUCGCCAUUGGAUGGGCCCGCGUCGGAUUAGCUAGUUGGUGAGGUAAUGGCUCACCAAGGCGACGAUCCGUAGCUGGUCUGAGAGGAUGAUCAGCCACACUGGGACUGAGACACGGCCCAGACGACUACGGGAGGCAGCAGUGGGGAAUAUUGGACAAUGGGCGCAAGCCUGAUCCAGCCAUGCCGCGUGAGUGGUGAAGGUCUUCGGAUUGUAAAACUCUUUCGCCGGGGAAGAUAAUGACGGUACCCGGAGAAGAAGCUCCGGCUAACUUCGUGCCAGCCGCCGCCGUAA